CCCCCGCCCCGCCCGGGGCGCGCCCCGGGCGGGGGGGGGGCACGGGGGGAACGCGAAGAACCUUACUUACUCUUGACAUCCAGAGAACUUUCCAGAGAUGGUUUGGUGCCUUCGGGAACUCUGAGACAGGUGCUGCAUGGCUGUCGUCAGCUCGUGUUGUGAAAUGUUGGGUUAAGUCCCGCAACGAGCGCAACCCUUAUCCUUUGUUGCCAGCGGUCCGGCCGGGAACUCAAAGGAGACUGCCAGUGAUAAACUGGAGGAAGGUGGGGAUGACGUCAAGUCAUCAUGGCCCUUACGAGUAGGGCUACACACGUGCUACAAUGGCGCAUACAAAGAGAAGCGACCUCGCGAGAGCAAGCGGACCUCAUAAAGUGCGUCGUAGUCCGGAUUGGAGUCUGCAACUCGACUCCAUGAAGUCGGAAUCGCUAGUAAUCGUAGAUCAGAAAGCUA
RNAcentral lists this ribosomal RNA (450 nucleotides) under uncultured bacterium. RNAcentral describes it as "bacterial SSU rRNA". It matches the Rfam family "Bacterial small subunit ribosomal RNA", at positions 929 to 1359 of the family's 1533-position model. The record is from RNAcentral.